RNAcentral lists this unclassified non-coding RNA (417 nucleotides) under Viguieranthus unifoliolatus. Its description in RNAcentral is "partial external transcribed spacer". Lineage: Eukaryota; Viridiplantae; Streptophyta; Magnoliopsida; Fabales; Fabaceae. The record is from RNAcentral.
GGUGUUUGGAUUGUCUCUGCCGGCUGGCUCCGUGCUCGCCCACCGAACGGUCGGCAUGCGAUCCGUGUCCCUUGUUGUGAGGUGGGAUGGUGCCUCAAGAGGCUGGUUCUUGUGUUGCCUACCCUUCAAGGGAAGAGGCCGCUUGAAAGUUAGCCUCCAUCCNGCGCCUUCCAAUGGGCGCAGGAGGACAACGAAGCACCCCUCGUGUUCCACCGAGCCUUCGUCGGUCGCGUGGCCCACGGGGACGUGCAAUGCUCUCGGACCCGGCGCACGCCGUGGACGUGGACUCGUGUCUCGUCCCAAGUGAAGCUUCGAUAUAACGUGAGACGGCCGCUCUCGCCCCUUGACCGCCUCGGAGGUGCAAGGGCGACGCGCGACGUNNNNGAGGAUUGCUACCUGGUUGAUCCUGCCAGUAGU